UCUAUCGCCUGUGCUGAAAGGCAAUUGUGCUUGAGGGAGAGCUUUCUUAAUAUUAUUGUGUUGCCUGCUAGCCUCUCUGGGUCAGGAUCUGUCAGCAUUUCCAUGAUAAACUUCUAAUUUCAAAGGUUUUUAAUUUGACCAUUAAAAGGUGCCCCAGGCUGAAGUUUGCUAUAGAGGGCCUGUUCCAAAGAGUGAAGGUUCGCUGCCUUCUUUUCUCUGCACAAUUCUCCGGAGAAAAGAACAACCAAAAAAUCAGAAAUCACUUCUCGAGGCCUGUCUUUGCCAAGAAGCCAGAAGAAAGUACGUUUGCUGCAGCCCUGACUUCAAGGGCACUGGGUGAUGCCGCUCCUCUGGGUAGACACUCCAUUCUCUGCUGGAGACCAUCCUGCUUUUGGAGACUUGCAGUUUGUAGGACGACCACCAGGGGGCACCUGUGCAUCAUCUCAUUCCCCAGGGACUGGCCCAGGGACCAGAAAGAUCCCUGUCACCGGCCCCCAGCGAGUUGAAGAGGCAGCUAACUAGGCCUGUAGCAUCUGCUCUGCUGAAGUUUGCUGAGCCCCAUGGUUUUUCUCUUAGCUUCAGGCAUCCCUUGAAGAGAAUCAGAAACUCCUCCCCUCCCCUCUCUUUUCCUUUCCACGUAGGGCACCACAGUGCAUGGUAGAGCCUGCUGCUCUGGCCUGAGCAUAUGGGAACACCAGCCUGGUUGGCUCACUUGACAUAGAUGUUUCCUACUAGAAAUUCAAAGACUUCAGAAAUGGAGGUUAUUAGCAGUGUAAAGCUCCUUGUGAAAAGUAGCACAAUCAGAGAUGAUCAAUUUACUGCCACUUGAUGAUGCUGAGCUAGGUCUGGGAAGCGUUGCCUGGCCUUCAUUGGCUGGGCUCAUCUGGCGUGAUCUUAGCACAUUAUCAUUUAAUUCUGCAAACAUUUGCCAGGUAUUGGGCUGGGGAUAUAUUUGUCAUGGUUUAGUGAUUACAGACUAGUAAGGGAAGAAAGUCAUUGGGCCUAUAAAACAGGGUGCUUGGGCAAGAGCUGGGGGUGAAAGGCUUUCAAAAUAAGGCACUGUCUGACUCAGUCCUGGAGGGUGAGUCACCUGGACAGUCCCUAGGUAUCUGGGUAGCGCUGGGCCAGAAACAUCACUAGCAGCUCUGGUGCCUGAGGGCCUGGCUGCAGAGGGGCAAUUCUAUUCCCCUGGAGCGACCAGGAGCAGGCAGGCUCCAGAGAAGGUGGGACACUCAUUCAGUCACUCAGCAUUGACCGAGCGCCUACUACAUGCCAGGACAUUCAUUCAGUCACUCAGCAUUGACCGAGCGCCUACUACAUGCCAGGACAUUCAUUCAGUCACUCAGCAUUGACCGAGCGCCUACUACAUGCCAGGACACUCAUUCAGUCACUCAGCAUUGACCGAGCGCCUACUACAUGCCAGGACACUCAUUCAGUCACUCAGCAUUGACCGAGCGCCUACUACAUGCCAGGACAUUCAUUCAGUCACUCAGCAUUGACCGAGCGCCUACUACAUGCCAGGCAACAAAACGAGUCACAGUAAACCAGGCUGGGGAGCCAUUCCUGACCACACAGGGAGGCUUCUCCCCUGGUGGUACCCAUGUUGGACACCAAGAUCUUGACACCGACAGUCAAGCAGAAUCCACCUGGUCCUCGCUGUGAGAGACAAGCAUCCUUGGAAGACUUCUUUGUUUAACUCAGAUCUUUAUUAAGCUGCCAAGAAGCUUUGCUUGAAACAACUGACCCACACUUUGGAAAGGGAAGCAAAGAUAGUACACCAUUUACUAUCGUUUUUCCAUGUCCUCAUCCCUCCUCACAAAGGAGCCUCAGCCAGUGUGAUCGAAAUGACUCUGUCUCCAGCAGAGAUGUUUUUCCUCCUGCCCUUGCUCAACUCUCCUAUUCGUCCUCUCUGGGUCCAGGCCAUUCGCCGUCCUGGGGGACUGUCUCUGUUGGGCUGGCAUCUUUGACAUGGGUCCCAGCUACUGUCACCAGACUGAGUCUCAUCUGUGAACAUGGUGGUCUAAGAAAUAUAAAUUUUUAAAUUUUUUCUAUAACUUUA
Balaenoptera ricei (Rice's whale) is the source of this 2059-nucleotide long non-coding RNA. RefSeq lists it as uncharacterized. The transcript has 3 exons. The record is from RefSeq and is a predicted model, not a curated record. NCBI's taxonomy places the organism in Eukaryota, Metazoa, Chordata, Mammalia, Artiodactyla, Balaenopteridae.